RNAcentral lists this ribosomal RNA (514 nucleotides) under Clostridioides difficile. Its description in RNAcentral is "bacterial SSU rRNA". It matches the Rfam family "Bacterial small subunit ribosomal RNA", at positions 305 to 841 of the family's 1533-position model. The record is from RNAcentral. Lineage: Bacteria; Bacillati; Bacillota; Clostridia; Peptostreptococcales; Peptostreptococcaceae.
CGGCCACAUUGGAACUGAGACACGGUCCAAACUCCUACGGGAGGCAGCAGUGGGGAAUAUUGCACAAUGGGCGAAAGCCUGAUGCAGCAACGCCGCGUGAGUGAUGAAGGCCUUCGGGUCGUAAAACUCUGUCCUCAAGGAAGAUAAUGACGGUACUUGAGGAGGAAGCCCCGGCUAACUACGUGCCAGCAGCCGCGGUAAUACGUAGGGGGCUAGCGUUAUCCGGAUUUACUGGGCGUAAAGGGUGCGUAGGCGGUCUUUCAAGUCAGGAGUGAAAGGCUACGGCUCAACCGUAGUAAGCUCUUGAAACUGGGAGACUUGAGUGCAGGAGAGGAGAGUGGAAUUCCUAGUGUAGCGGUGAAAUGCGUAGAUAUUAGGAGGAACACCAGUUGCGAAGGCGGCUCUCUGGACUGUAACUGACGCUGAGGCACGAAAGCGUGGGGAGCAAACAGGAUUAGAUACCCUGGUAGUCCACGCUGUAAACGAUGAGUACUAGGUGUCGGGGGUUACCCCC